ACCACCGGCCCUUGUGGUGGCGUUCAGCCACGCGAGACUGAGCAAUAACAGGUCUGUGAUGCCCUUAGAUGUCCGGGGCUGCACGCGCGCCACAAUGGGCGGAUCAACGUGUGCCUACCCUGCGCCGAGAGGCGCGGGUAACCCGUUGAAACCCGCUCGGAAGAGCCCAG
Danio rerio (zebrafish) is the source of this 170-nucleotide non-coding RNA. The record is from RefSeq and is a predicted model, not a curated record. NCBI's taxonomy places the organism in Eukaryota, Metazoa, Chordata, Actinopteri, Cypriniformes, Danionidae.